CCUAGGGGAGGCAGCAGUGAGGAAUAUUGGUCAAUGGGCGCGAGCCUGAACCAGCCAAGUAGCGUGAAGGAUGAAGGUCCUAUGGAUUGUAAACUUCUUUUAUAGUAGAAUAAAGUGAGCCACGUGUGGUUUUUUGUAUGUAUACUAUGAAUAAGGAUCGGCUAACUCCGUGCCAGCAGCCGCGGUAAU
RNAcentral lists this ribosomal RNA (189 nucleotides) under uncultured Bacteroidales bacterium. Its description in RNAcentral is "partial 16S ribosomal RNA". It matches the Rfam family "Bacterial small subunit ribosomal RNA", at positions 338 to 524 of the family's 1533-position model. The record is from RNAcentral. Lineage: Bacteria; Pseudomonadati; Bacteroidota; Bacteroidia; Bacteroidales.